ACCCACGACUACGAGGUGAAGAUGCGCGCGAUGAACCGCUUCUUCGAGGAAGGCGACAAGGUCAAGGUGACGCUGAAGUUCCGUGGUCGCGAAAUGGCGCACCAGGAACUCGGCAUGAAGCUUCUGCUCCAGGUCAAGGAAGACACCACGACCAUUGCCAAGGUCGAAGCCGAGCCCAAGCUCGAAGGCCGCCAGAUGAUGAUGGUGCUCGCACCGAGAUAAGCGUGCGGCCGGGAUAGGCUUUGGCACAUCCCGACCGACCUUCAAAAGCCGUACGUGACAUCGUCCCGGA
This 292-nucleotide unclassified non-coding RNA is filed under the name Rhizobium sp. NFR03. RNAcentral describes it as "Long range pseudoknot". Lineage: Bacteria; Pseudomonadati; Pseudomonadota; Alphaproteobacteria; Hyphomicrobiales; Rhizobiaceae. The record is from RNAcentral.